UACGUAGGGUGCGAGCGGUAAUCGGAAUUACUGGGCGUAAAGCGUGCGCAGGCGGUCUCGUAAGACAGGUGUGAAAUCCCCGGGCUCAACCUGGGAACUGCGCUUGUGACUGCGAGGCUGGAGUGCGGAAGAGGGAGGUGGAAUUCCACGUGUAGCAGUGAAAUGCGUAGAGAUGUGGAGGAACACCGAUGGCGAAGGCAGCCUCCUGGUCCAGCACUGACGCUCAUGCACGAAAGCGUGGGGAGCAAACAGG
This 253-nucleotide ribosomal RNA is filed under the name uncultured bacterium. RNAcentral describes it as "partial 16S ribosomal RNA". It matches the Rfam family "Bacterial small subunit ribosomal RNA", at positions 524 to 776 of the family's 1533-position model. The record is from RNAcentral.